UAGGGAAUAUUGGGCAAUGGAGGCAACUCUGACCCAGCCAUGCCGCGUGCAGGAUGAAGGCGCUCAGCGUUGUAAACUGCUUUUAUCUAGGAAGAAUGAUCGGAGUGCGCUCUGAUGUGACGGUACUAGAGGAAUAAGCACCGGCUAACUCCGUGCCAGCAGCCGCGGUAAUACGGAGGGUGCGAGCGUUGUCCGGAUUUAUUGGGUUUAAAGGGUGCGUAGGUGGUAUGGUAAGUCUGGUUUGAAAGCUGGUCGCUUAACGAUCAGAUGUGGCUGGAAACUGCGGUACUUGAAUGCGGUGGCGGUAGCUGGAACGGGUCAUGUAGCGGUGAAAUGCAUAGAUAUGACCCAGAACCCCGAUUGCGAAGGCAGGCUACUACGCCGUGAUUGACACUGAGGCACGAGAGCAUGGGUAGCGAACA
Molecule: ribosomal RNA, 422 nt
Filed under: uncultured bacterium
Lineage: Bacteria
Description: bacterial SSU rRNA
Rfam family: Bacterial small subunit ribosomal RNA
Source: RNAcentral